This 73-nucleotide transfer RNA is filed under the name Selenops bursarius. Its description in RNAcentral is "tRNA-Asn". Lineage: Eukaryota; Metazoa; Arthropoda; Arachnida; Araneae; Selenopidae. The record is from RNAcentral.
UAGAUAUAAGCAUUAGCGAUUUCAUUGUUAAUGAAAGGAGAGGGUAAAGAAAGGGCAUUUUAGAGGCGGCUAG